This 460-nucleotide ribosomal RNA is filed under the name uncultured bacterium. RNAcentral describes it as "partial 16S ribosomal RNA". It matches the Rfam family "Bacterial small subunit ribosomal RNA", at positions 338 to 795 of the family's 1533-position model. The record is from RNAcentral.
CCUACGGGAGGCAGCAGUGAGGAAUAUUGGUCAAUGGGCGCGAGCCUGAACCAGCCAAGUCGCGUGAAGGAUGAAUGCCCUACGGGUUGAAAACUUCUUUUAUAAAGGAAUACAGUGAGGCACGUGUGCCUUUUUGUCUGCACUUUAUGACUUAGGAUCGGCUAACUCCGUGCCAGCAGCCGCGGUAAUACGGAGGAUUCGAGCGUUAUCCGGUGUUAUUGGGUUUAAGGGGAGCGUAGAGGGGUUGUUAAGUCAGGUGUGAACGUCUGCGGUUCAACCUUAAAAUUGCAAUUGAUACUGGCAGUCUUGAGUACAGUUGAGGUAGGCGGAAUUCGUGGUGUAGCGGUGAAAUGCUUAGAUAUCACGAAGAACUCCGAUUGCGAAGGCAGCUUACUAAACUGCCACUGACAGUGAUGCUCGAAAGUGUGGGUAGCAAACAGGAUUAGAUACCCUGGUAGUC